Molecule: long non-coding RNA, 315 nt
Filed under: Salmo salar (Atlantic salmon)
Lineage: Eukaryota; Metazoa; Chordata; Actinopteri; Salmoniformes; Salmonidae
Description: lncRNA (ENSSSAG00000095404.1)
Source: RNAcentral
ACCAUUUCCGGAGACCUUCUCCCCUACCUCACCUCGCUCAUCAACGCAUCCUUGACCGCUGGCUACGUCCCUUCCGUCUUCAAGAGAGCGAGAGUUGCACCCCUUCUGAAAAAACCUACACUCGAUCCCUCCGAUGUCAACAACUACAGACCUAUCUGCUGCCUUUGAUACCGUGAACCAUCAGAUCCUCCUCUCCACCCUCUCCGAGCUGGGCAUCUCCGGCACCGCGCACGCUUGGAUUGCGUCCUACCUGACAGGUCGCUCCUACCAGGUGGCGAAUCGCAUCUCUGCAUGUCUGGCAGACAUAUCAGUGUG